RNAcentral lists this ribosomal RNA (705 nucleotides) under Rhodococcus erythropolis. RNAcentral describes it as "bacterial SSU rRNA". It matches the Rfam family "Bacterial small subunit ribosomal RNA", at positions 44 to 767 of the family's 1533-position model. The record is from RNAcentral. Lineage: Bacteria; Bacillati; Actinomycetota; Actinomycetes; Mycobacteriales; Nocardiaceae.
CUGCUUACACAUGCAAGUCGAGCGGUAAGGCCUUUCGGGGUACACGAGCGGCGAACGGGUGAGUAACACGUGGGUGAUCUGCCCUGCACUUCGGGAUAAGCCUGGGAAACUGGGUCUAAUACCGGAUAUGACCUCAGGUUGCAUGACUUGGGGUGGAAAGAUUUAUCGGUGCAGGAUGGGCCCGCGGCCUAUCAGCUUGUUGGUGGGGUAAUGGCCUACCAAGGCGACGACGGGUAGCCGACCUGAGAGGGUGACCGGCCACACUGGGACUGAGACACGGCCCAGACUCCUACGGGAGGCAGCAGUGGGGAAUAUUGCACAAUGGGCGAAAGCCUGAUGCAGCGACGCCGCGUGAGGGAUGACGGCCUUCGGGUUGUAAACCUCUUUCAGCAGGGACGAAGCGCAAGUGACGGUACCUGCAGAAGAAGCACCGGCUAACUACGUGCCAGCAGCCGCGGUAAUACGUAGGGUGCAAGCGUGGUCCGGAAUUACUGGGCGUAAAGAGUUCGUAGGCGGUUUGUCGCGUCCUUUGUGAAAACCAGCAGCUCAACUGCUGGCUUGCAGGCGAUACGGGCAGACUUGAGUACUGCACGGGAGACUGGAAUUCCUGGUGUACCGGUGAAAUGCGCCGAUAUCAAGAAGAACACGGUGGGCGAAAGCGGGUCUCUGGGCAGUAACUGACCCUAAGGAACGAAAGCGUGGGUA